CCCUCUGCAUGAUGUGUAAUUAUGUAUGUUUGUGGAUUUUCCUGGAAUAAGGAAAUUUAAGACAUUCAGAAGACUCCCCAAAGUCUCCCCAAGGAAACAAGAGAAGUAUAGGCCCAGGCUAAUGGAGAAGCUCAUCUUGUUUCUGUCAUACCUUUCAGAAACAACCAGGGAUGUGAGGUCCAUAAAGGCAAGAACCUUAUAUGUCCUGUUCCCUGCUGCAGCCUCUAUCUACCCACCACAGAUUGCACCAAGCCAGGAAAAGAUCUUCAAGUAUUAGAAGGAUAAGAAGAGGAAAGAGCAAGAGCCCAAACUAAACCUAAGAGCGAGGCUUCCUUGCCACCAGGAGUCUACACCAGUGCCUAUAGCAGUGGGUGUACAACAACACCUGCUAGAGAGGGCAAUAAUAAUAAGAAAAGGAUUUCUCCAUCUAUCAAAAUCCUGCCUAUUCAAGGCCUCUCUUAAACAUCAGAUCUUCCAGACAAAUGCUGUGAAACAGGAAGGAAGGCUGCUGGCAGAAUGAGGUCAGCCCUUAACAGAGGCCCUGAGGAAUGCUGGCAUGGUACAUAAUGUCUGGAGAAGGUGUAUGGUGGCCCAGGAAAUUUGAAGGACAUCAAAACUCUCUUCUGGAUCCCAAAUGCCUAACUUACCAGCCAUGUAAGAUAUGAGACAUCUGAAACCAAUAGUGUCAAACAACUGGCUGAAUGAUGCCUGCACAUCCAAGCCCCUGGCUGCUCUCAUAAGUCCUUCCAUGGUCAAGCUGGAGAAGCCUCUUCCUGUCUAGCAUACUCUGGAUCAUGGCACCCUGUGACCACCUCUCCUUUACCACCUCUCUUAUAACACCCAGAGAAAUAUUCUUGGUCAAAGUAAACAGACCUUUAUCAGUUGGUCUUUGAGAAAAACCAACAGAGCUAAGAGCUGCUGGAAAUGAGGCACUUGAGGUUUGCUGGUAGGGAAGGAAGAAACUUGAAGUUGGCCAGAAAAGAAGCUCCCUCAGAUCAUAUUGAGUAUCGUGGUGCUCACAGGUGGGCUGAAUUCCAUCUGAGUGGAGUCUAAUCUGUGAAGGCUUUUGGACAGCAGCAGCCCCUAAUCAAAGACUUUUCUUAUGCACUCUGGGGGAAAUUCUAUUAGUAUUUCCUAAAUUUUUCUGGAAGAUGAAAUGUAGCGUUAUCACAUAACUAUCUCCCUCAUGACUCCUUUCAACGAAGUGUUCAGAAUCGACUGGGUUACCCUCCCUCAGAAGAGGACUGGUAUUUUUGGAAGCAUCUCCCUAUGCCAUAACACUUUGAGCCUCUAAAUAAUGUAAAUGGCUGAAUGAACAUGCUUCUUAGAGACAAGAGACCUUAACUUUGGUUCUGGAUCUGUCCUGUGAGGUAAGUCACAAAAUCUCAGGGUCUCACAUUUCUUAUUUGUCCAGUGAAGCAAUAAUUCUUGCCUUCCAAUAAAACCAAUGUGAGAGAGCUAAUGCAAGUGGAUUUUGAAAAAGUAAAUAUACUAGCUAAACACAAGAUAUUCUUCUUGUUACUGAUACUGCUAUAUACCUAUUACUACUAAUAAUAGGUUUUAUCAGCAGCCCCUAAGGAGAGAAAAUGAAUGUAUGACUAAUUGGGCUGUUCAGAUACCUCAGCCUUUGCAAUAGACUCUGAAACAGACCCCACGAGAGAGUAAACAAGUAUAACUGCUGACAUGUGGGCAGCCCUGGUGGCUCAGCGGUUUAGCGCCGCCUACAGCCCUGGGCGUGAUCCUGAAGACCGGGUAUCGAGUCCCGCAUCGGGCUCCCUGCCUGGAGCCUGCUUCUCCC
Canis lupus familiaris (dog) is the source of this 1798-nucleotide long non-coding RNA. RefSeq lists it as uncharacterized. The record is from RefSeq and is a predicted model, not a curated record. The transcript has 6 exons. Lineage: Eukaryota; Metazoa; Chordata; Mammalia; Carnivora; Canidae.